GGGGCCCGGCGCCGGCGCGUGCGUCACGGGAGGCAAAGUUCCAAGAAACUUGGCUGAGGGCUCGGAGUCCCGCGGGGGCGGGGCGGGAAUGCCGCGGGGCGGGGGCCGGCGACACGGGGGUCCCGGGGGAGUAGGGAUCGGGGCUUCCGGGAGCAGGAGAUCCCAGGGAUAUAGGGUCCCAAAGGUUACGUGUCCAGGCACCUGUCAGAUUUGGGCUACAGAAGAGCGAGGAGAUGGCCAUGGCUUGGGGUGAGCCCAGCACUGCCCAUAGCCCUGCAGCCGGGGCUCCCCUUGGGCACCUGGAGUCCAUUGGCCCUAAAAUGCAUGUGUACAGGGCCCUUGGCUGCCUGCAGCAGCAAGAGAAGCUGCCUGGGGCUACCUGGUUAGAAGGAGUGCACAUCUUCUUCCUGUGUGGUGGAAAACUGAACUCCUGAAAAACGUGCUGGCCUUGUGCACCUUGUGACCUACACCAGGAGCAUCUACAUGAGUAUAUAUCAACCUGCCCCAUUUUAGGGAUGCAGUGGGGCUUGGCCAGCAGUUGGAAGAGGCUCAUAAAGCAGCUGGGGUGCUUUGUUCCCCUCUUACAUGCACAUACAGACCCCCUGGGCUCUUAGCUGGCUGCUAGCACAGCCCUCAGUAUAGCACAGACUGUGUUUU
RNAcentral lists this long non-coding RNA (657 nucleotides) under Parus major (Great Tit). RNAcentral's name for it is "lncRNA (ENSPMJG00000017324.1)". The record is from RNAcentral. Lineage: Eukaryota; Metazoa; Chordata; Aves; Passeriformes; Paridae.